RNAcentral lists this ribosomal RNA (381 nucleotides) under uncultured bacterium. RNAcentral describes it as "bacterial SSU rRNA". It matches the Rfam family "Bacterial small subunit ribosomal RNA", at positions 28 to 407 of the family's 1533-position model. The record is from RNAcentral.
GACGAACGCUGGCGGCGUGCUUAACACAUGCAAGUCGAGCGGUAAGGCCCUUUCGGGGGUACGACGAGCGGCGAACGGGUGAGUAACACGUGGGUGACCUGCCCUUACGCUCUGGGAUAAGCCUGGGAAACUGGGUCUAAUACCGGAUAUGACUCCAUAACGCAUGUUGUGGGGUGGAAAGCCUUGUGCGGCUAGGGAUGGGCCCGCGGCCUAUCAGCUUGUUGGUGGGGUGAUGGCCACCAAGGCGACGACGGGUAGCCGGCCUGAGAGGGCGACCGGCCACACUGGGGACUGAGACACGGCCCAGACUCCUACGGGAGGGCAGCAGUGGGGAAUCUUGCGCAAUGGGCGAAAGCCUGACGCAGCGACGCCGCGUGGGGA